This 423-nucleotide ribosomal RNA is filed under the name uncultured bacterium. RNAcentral's name for it is "bacterial SSU rRNA". It matches the Rfam family "Bacterial small subunit ribosomal RNA", at positions 207 to 622 of the family's 1533-position model. The record is from RNAcentral.
AAGACCUUGCGCUUUUGGAGCGGCCGAUGUCUGAUUAGCUAGUUGGUGGGGUAAUGGCCUACCAAAGCUUCGAUCAGUAGCUGGUCUGAGAGGACGGCCAGCCACACUGGGACUGAGACACGGCCCAGACUCCUACGGGAGGCAGCAGUGGGGAAUUUUGGACAAUGGGCGCAAGCCUGAUCCAGCCAUGCCGCGUGAGUGAAGAAGGCCUUCGGGUUGUAAAGCUCUUUCAGCCGGGAAGAAAAGGCUGCGACUAAUAAUCGCAGUUCAUGACGGUACCGGAAGAAGAAGCACCGGCUAACUACGUGCCAGCAGCCGCGGUAACACGUAGGGUGCGAGCGUUAAUCGGAAUUACUGGGCGUAAAGGGUGCGCAGGCGGUUUUGUAAGUCAGAUGUGAAAUCCCCGGGCUUAACCUGGGAACU